GAUCUUUUGAGUUUAAUCUUUUUUGAAUCUUUUUGAAUCAUUUCUAAUCUUUCCGAAUCAUGCAUAUCAAGAAGGACAGAAAUUUUUGAUUCAGUGUCUGAAGAACACCUGUCAAACCGAACCUCGUUCGCGCGCGCGAAAUAAACAAGUGAAAACAAAACACCAAAGAGCAGCGGUGAACAUUGCUUAAAUUGUUAAUAUUCUUGGCUGACAUGCCGGAGCUUGAUGACCGGUCUGGUGCCGUACUGAGAUGUACCGUAGACAGCCACCUUUCUGAGCGUUCGUCAGUCAUCGAUUUGCUGCCAGCUAGAAUUUUCCUCGACCCAUACCUACUUCAUUUUCGAAGGUGCUCCACAACUAGCCUCUGGGUGUGCUCUGGGUCUAUUCUGCUGCGAAGUUCUGAUGGAUUCGUACAGUAAAUUACCGUUCUCGUUGUGAAAACGAUUCUACUAGUAAGGCGAAAAACAUUAGGUUGGUGUAGACGGUCUGCCACGAUAUGGCAGCGUAUUUUUCGUGUAAAGCUGCCGCGAAAAGAACAAGCUCCGGAAUUAGCGUUUUGAUUUGGAGACGCAGAAGUAGGUACGUGACAAAAUUCUAAGACCCCAACGCACCGAAAUGUUCUGUCGGCGUUUCUCUUGUUCUGCAACGGUGAAUGGAACAAGUUGCAGGGCAAGGCGCAGUACGAACAGGUGGUCAAGCUGAAAUAGGAAAACGAAUAGACCGGUGGAAUCUCAAUCAACUCGCUGUAAACCAGCACGUAGCAUGCGGUAGUGACCCAACAGGAGAUGGAGAAACAGCUGACCAGGGAAUCGAACGUAGUUUGCGACGAUAAAGGCACUUCUGCUAAUCAUGGAGCAGCUUCUUCACCGGUCUCAUUUAUCAAAUGCUUUGUAAUAUUUCUUUCUGUUUUUAUAUAAUAUUAAUAAAAAAAAAUGCGGUGGGUGGGGGUGAGGUG
Long non-coding RNA from Aedes albopictus (Asian tiger mosquito), 955 nucleotides. RefSeq lists it as uncharacterized. The transcript has 4 exons. The record is from RefSeq and is a predicted model, not a curated record. Lineage: Eukaryota; Metazoa; Arthropoda; Insecta; Diptera; Culicidae.